Oreochromis aureus is the source of this 1213-nucleotide long non-coding RNA. Lineage: Eukaryota; Metazoa; Chordata; Actinopteri; Cichliformes; Cichlidae. The record is from Ensembl.
GAAACCACUAUGUCAAUGAGGGUCCCACUAAGAUAGUUGAACGGGGUUGUGUGUGUGUGUGUGUGUCUUUGUGUGUGUCCUCUAAUCUGUAAUCUGCCUCCAGAUUACAGUUUGCAGGAAGUCUUAAAUAAUGACAUCAUUGUGUGGCUGUGGCCCCGCCCCCUGCAUGAUAUCACUCAGAGCUGGAUCGUCUGUGAGAGCAGCAGCAUGGCCACCUUCGUCUCGCUGGUAACGUGUCAGCACUGCCCCGUCACCUCCACCCGCCGCGGCCUCAUCUACAGAGACUCUUUCUCCGCUCUGUCCAGGAACCUGAGGGCCCCCGGGGGCCCCCGUCACCCCCCGGGCCCCCGGCCGCAGGACUUCAGCCUCUACAGCCGACGCCACUGCAGGCUCACCAGACCUGAGCUCCCAGAAUCCACUGCUCUGGCUCGCUCCAAGCAGUCUCGCAGCAUGAAGCACCUGGUCCUGGCUCACCUGAGGAGGAUGCUGACUCUGAGCCCCGCACAGCAGCAGAGAGGCCUCCGCCUGCCAGGCUGACCUCUGACCCGGGACGCAGGAGGUGGUCCGGAGUUGCAGUGAGAGCUGCUGGACACCAGAGGGCGACAGAGGUUCAGACUGGGUCUGAGGUGGAGGAGAACUGGUGUGGUUACCUUUCCCUUUUCCCUCACCGCCACCCAUCACCUGUGGGAGGAGGCCGGACUUACCGAACGUCCUCGUCCUCUGCAGGGAUGAAGAGCGCAGCAGCUGUCCACAAAGUUCUGACCAGAAGCUCCUCAGUGUGGUGGGUCUGAGCCCCACAGCACUGUGGGUAAUGACUCCAGCUGCUGAAGACACUAAAUAUAAAAACACAAUUUUAUCUGCUGGAAAUGAACAAAAUGUUUAUUAUUUCUUAUUAUUUCUAAAUCUUUUCUUUGUGUUUAAGAGGUUCAGUCGUCCCUGUGAUCCUCAGAUCUGUGAGUGUGUUUGUCAAACUUUUUUAUUAAACAGACUUUAGACAAUAAUGUUUCCUCAUGUUCAGCUUAAGUAAAUGAGAUUGAUUCCUGGAAUUACUUUAGCUACUGUAAUCAGUGUUAGAUGAUUAAUAAUGUGUAGCCACAGAUCAGAGCAGCUGACUGUCUCGUGUCCUGAAGCAGGAGAAUGAACCCACAGCAGCCAAACAGCUGAUUCUGUUCAAGCGUCAAAGCUUUAUGGUGAGUCUGACACUGAACUUCCG